UACGUAGGGGGCUAGCGUUGUCCGGAAUCAUUGGGCGUAAAGCGCGUGUAGGCGGUCCGGUAAGUCCGCUGUGAAAGUCGGGGGCUCAACCCUCGGAUGCCGGUGGAUACUGUCGGGCUUGAGUACGGAAGAGGAGAGUGGAAUUCCCGGUGUAGUGGUGAAAUGCGCAGAUAUCAGGAGGAACACCGAUGGCGAAGGCAGUUCUCUGGGCCGUAACUGACGCUGAGGAGCGAAAGCGUGGGGAGCGAACAGG
Molecule: ribosomal RNA, 253 nt
Filed under: uncultured bacterium
Lineage: Bacteria
Description: partial 16S ribosomal RNA
Rfam family: Bacterial small subunit ribosomal RNA
Source: RNAcentral